RNAcentral lists this ribosomal RNA (254 nucleotides) under uncultured bacterium. RNAcentral's name for it is "partial 16S ribosomal RNA". It matches the Rfam family "Bacterial small subunit ribosomal RNA", at positions 524 to 776 of the family's 1533-position model. The record is from RNAcentral.
UACGAAGGGGGCGAGCGUUGUUCGGAGUUACUGGGCGUAAAGGGCGCGUAGGCGGUUUUUCAAGUCAGAUGUGAAAGCCCCGGGCUUAACCUGGGAAUGGCAUUUGGGACUGGAAGGCUUGAGAUCGGGAGAGGUGAGUGGAAUUCCCAGUGUAGAGGUGAAAUUCGUAGAUAUUGGGAAGAACACCGGUGGCGAAGGCGGCUCACUGGACCGACACUGACGCUGAGGCGCGAAAGCGUGGGGGAGCAAACAGG